GACGAACCACACAAACGUUAUUCGGAAUUACUGGGCUUAAAGGGUGCGUAGGCUGCGCAGAAAGUUGGGUGUGAAAUCCCUCGGCUCAACCGAGGAACUGCGCCCAAUACUACUGUGCUCGAGGGAGACAGAGGUGAGCGGAACUUAGGGUGGAGCGGUGAAAUGCGUUGAUAUCCUAAGGAACACCCGUGGCGAAAGCGGCUCACUGGGUCUCUUCUGACGCUGAGGCACGAAAGCUAGGGUAGCGAACGGG
This 253-nucleotide ribosomal RNA is filed under the name uncultured bacterium. Its description in RNAcentral is "partial 16S ribosomal RNA". It matches the Rfam family "Bacterial small subunit ribosomal RNA", at positions 524 to 776 of the family's 1533-position model. The record is from RNAcentral. RNAcentral also lists the same sequence under 1 other name.